GACGAACGCUGGCGGCGUGCCUAAUACAUGCAAGUUGAGCGAUGAAGAUUGGUGCUUGCACCAAUUUGAAGAGCAGCGAACGGGUGAGUAACGCGUGGGGAAUCUGCCUUUGAGCGGGGGACAACAUUUGGAAACGAAUGCUAAUACCGCAUAACAACUUUAAACAUAAGUUUUAAGUUUGAAAGAUGCAAUUGCAUCACUCAAAGAUGAUCCCGCGUUGUAUUAGCUAGUUGGUGAGGUAAAGGCUCACCAAGGCGAUGGUACAUAGCCGACCUGAGAGGGUGAUCGGCCACAUUGGGACUGAGACACGGCCCAAACUCCUACGGGAGGCAGCAGUAGGGAAUCUUCGGCAAGGGACGAAAGUCUGACCGAGCAACGCCGCGGGAGUGAAGAAGGUUGUCGGAUCGUAAAACUCUGUUGGUAGAGAAGAACGUUGGUGAGAGUGGAAAGCUCAUCAAGUGACGGUAACUACCCAGAAAGGGACGGCUAACUACGUG
RNAcentral lists this ribosomal RNA (497 nucleotides) under uncultured bacterium. Its description in RNAcentral is "partial 16S ribosomal RNA". It matches the Rfam family "Bacterial small subunit ribosomal RNA", at positions 28 to 507 of the family's 1533-position model. The record is from RNAcentral.